Molecule: ribosomal RNA, 468 nt
Filed under: uncultured bacterium
Lineage: Bacteria
Description: partial 16S ribosomal RNA
Rfam family: Bacterial small subunit ribosomal RNA
Source: RNAcentral
GACGAACGCUGGCGGCGUGCUUAACACAUGCCAGUCGAACGGAAAGGCCCUGCUUUUGUGGGGUGCUCGAGUGGCGAACGGGUGAGUAACACGUGAGUAACCUGCCCUUGACUUUGGGAUAACUUCAGGAAACUGGGGCUAAUACCGGAUAGGAGCUCCUGCUGCAUGGUGGGGGUUGGAAAGUUUCGGCGGUUGGGGAUGGACUCGCGGCUUAUCAGCUUGUUGGUGGGGUAGUGGCUUACCAAGGCUUUGACGGGUAGCCGGCCUGAGAGGGUGACCGGCCACAUUGGGACUGAGAUACGGCGCAGACUCCUAUGGGAGGCAGCAGUGGGGAAUAUUGCACAAUGGGCGGAAGCCUGAUGCAGCAACGCCGCGUGCGGGAUGACGGCCUUCGGGUUGUAAACCGCUUUCGCCUGUGACGAAGCGUGAGUGACGGUAAUGGGUAAAGAAGCACCGGCUAACUACGUG